UGGGGGAUAUUGCACAAUGGGCGAAAGCCUGAUGCAGCGACGCCGCGUGGGGGAUGAAGGCUUUCGGGUUGUAAACCUCUUUCGCUAUCGAACAAGGCCCGCUUAGGGUGGGUUGAGGGUAGGUGGAGAAGAAGCGCCGGCUAACUACGUGCCAGCAGCCGCGGUAAUACGUAGGGCGCGAGCGUUGUCCGGAAUUAUUGGGCGUAAAGGGCUUGUAGGCGGCUUGUUGCGCCUGCUGUGAAAACGCGGGGCUUAACUUCGCGCGUGCAGUGGGUACGGGCAGGCUUGAGUGUGGUAGGGGUGACUGGAAUUCCAGGUGUAGCGGUGGAAUGCGCAGAUAUCUGGAAGAACACCGAUGGCGAAGGCAGGUCACUGGGCCAUUACUGACGCUGAGGAGCGAAAGCAUGGGUAGCGAACAGG
RNAcentral lists this ribosomal RNA (420 nucleotides) under bacterium. RNAcentral describes it as "partial 16S ribosomal RNA". It matches the Rfam family "Bacterial small subunit ribosomal RNA", at positions 355 to 776 of the family's 1533-position model. The record is from RNAcentral.